Molecule: ribosomal RNA, 676 nt
Filed under: Desulfopila sp. PR8_C01
Lineage: Bacteria; Pseudomonadati; Thermodesulfobacteriota; Desulfobulbia; Desulfobulbales; Desulfocapsaceae
Description: bacterial SSU rRNA
Rfam family: Bacterial small subunit ribosomal RNA
Source: RNAcentral
GGCGCACGGGUGAGUAACGCGUAAGUAAUCUACCCUGGCAUCUGGAAUAACCCACCGAAAGGUGUGCUAAUACCGGAUACGCUGAUUUAUCAGGAAAGGUGGCCUCUUCAUGAAAGCUACUGUGCCGGGAGGAGCUUGCGUACCAUUAGCUAGUUGGUGGGGUAAUGGCCUACCAAGGCGACGAUGGUUAGCGGGUCUGAGAGGAUGAUCCGCCACACUGGAACUGGAACACGGACCAGACUCCUACGGGAGGCAGCAGUGAGGAAUAUUGCGCAAUGGGGGAAACCCUGACGCAGCGACGCCGCGUGGAUGAUGAAGGCCUUCGGGUCGUAAAAUCCUGUCAGAUGGAAAGAAAUGGUAUAUGCCUAAUAUGUGUAUACUUUGACGGUACCAUCAAAGGAAGCACCGGCUAACUCCGUGCCAGCAGCCGCGGUAAUACGGAGGGUGCAAGCGUUGUUCGGAAUUACUGGGCGUAAAGCGCGCGUAGGCGGCUUUUUAAGUCAGAUGUGAAAGUCCACGGCUCAACCGUGGAAGUGCAUUUGAUACUGGGAAGCUUGAGUACUGGAGGGGAUGGUGGAAUUCCCGGUGUAGAGGUGAAAUUCGUAGAUAUCGGGAGGAAUACCGGUGGCGAAGGCGACCAUCUGGCCAGAUACUGACGCUGAGGUGCGAAAGCGUG